Verruconis gallopava is the source of this 86-nucleotide transfer RNA. It matches the Rfam family "tRNA". Rfam says of the family: Transfer RNA (tRNA) molecules are approximately 80 nucleotides in length. Their secondary structure includes four short double-helical elements and three loops (D, anti-codon, and T loops). Further hydrogen bonds mediate the characteristic L-shaped molecular structure. tRNAs have two regions of fundamental functional importance: the anti-codon, which is responsible for specific mRNA codon recognition, and the 3' end, to which the tRNAs corresponding amino acid is attached (by aminoacyl-tRNA synthetases). tRNAs cope with the degeneracy of the genetic code in two manners: having more than one tRNA (with a specific anti-codon) for a particular amino acid; and 'wobble' base-pairing, i.e. permitting non-standard base-pairing at the 3rd anti-codon position. The record is from Rfam. Lineage: Eukaryota; Fungi; Ascomycota; Dothideomycetes; Venturiales; Sympoventuriaceae.
GCAGUCGUAGUCUAGUGGUUAUGAUGUGACCUUUACAUGCACUAUGUAUUCGGUCAAGGCCGGGGGUUCGAUCCCCCCCGACUGUA